This 388-nucleotide ribosomal RNA is filed under the name Acidimicrobiales bacterium. Its description in RNAcentral is "bacterial SSU rRNA". It matches the Rfam family "Bacterial small subunit ribosomal RNA", at positions 1 to 388 of the family's 1533-position model. Lineage: Bacteria; Bacillati; Actinomycetota; Acidimicrobiia; Acidimicrobiales. The record is from RNAcentral.
UUGACGGAGAGUUUGAUCCUGGCUCAGGACGAACGCUGGCGGCGUGCUUAAUACAUGCAAGUCGAACGCUCUCGACCUUCGGGUCAUAUGAGAGAGUGGCGAACGGGUGCGUAACACGUGAGAAACCUACCCCAAAGACGGGAAUAGCCCGAGGAAACUCGGAUUAAUACCCGAUAUCUUCACACAGCCGCAUGGUUGAGUGAAGAAAGUUCAGGCGCUUUGGGAGGGUCUCGCGGCCUAUCAGCUUGUUGGUGAGGUAACGGCUCACCAAGGCAUCGACGGGUAGCUGGUCUGAGAGGACGAUCAGCCACACUGGGACUGAGACACGGCCCAGACUCCUACGGGAGGCAGCAGUGGGGAAUCUUGCGCAAUGGGCGAAAGCCUGACG